CUUCUCACUACUGCACUUGACUAG
RNAcentral lists this non-coding RNA (24 nucleotides) under Callithrix jacchus (white-tufted-ear marmoset). RNAcentral also lists the same sequence under 3 other names. Lineage: Eukaryota; Metazoa; Chordata; Mammalia; Primates; Cebidae. The record is from RNAcentral.